Molecule: ribosomal RNA, 229 nt
Filed under: uncultured bacterium
Lineage: Bacteria
Description: partial 16S ribosomal RNA
Rfam family: Bacterial small subunit ribosomal RNA
Source: RNAcentral
UGCGUAGGCGGACUAAUAAGUCAGUGGUGAAACCUCUCGGCUCAACCGGGAAACUGCCAUUGAUACUGUUAGUCUUGAGUUCGGUUGAGGUAGGCGGAAUGUGUAAUGUAGCGGUGAAAUGCUUAGAUAUUACACAGAACACCAAUUGCGUAGGCAGCUUACUAGACCGACACUGACGCUGAGGCACGAAAGCGUGGGUAGCGAACAGGAUUAGAUACCCUGGUAGUCC